AAUCUUCCACAAUGGACGAAAGCCUGAUGGACCAACGCCGCGUGAGUGAAGAAGGUUUUCGGAUCGUAAAACUCUGUUGUAAGGGAAGAACAAGUACAGUAGUAACUGGCUGUACCUUGACGGUACCUUAUGAGAAAGCCACGGCUAACUACGUGCCGUCCGCCGCGGUAAUACGUAGGUGGCAAGCGUUGUCCGGAAUUAUGGGGCGUAAAGCGCGCGCAGGCGGUCCUUUAAGUCUGAUGUGAAAGCCCACGGCUCAACCGUGGAGGGUCAUUGGAAACUGGGGGACUGGAGUGCAGAAGAGGAAAGUGGAAUUCCAAGUGUAGCGGUGAAAUGCGUAGAGAUUUGGAGGAACACCAGGGGCGAAGGCGACUUUCUGGUCUGUAACUGACGCUGAGGCGCGAAAGCGUGGGGAGCAAACA
RNAcentral lists this ribosomal RNA (422 nucleotides) under uncultured bacterium. Its description in RNAcentral is "partial 16S ribosomal RNA". It matches the Rfam family "Bacterial small subunit ribosomal RNA", at positions 360 to 774 of the family's 1533-position model. The record is from RNAcentral.